AAAUUUCUUAAUAAUCCAGACAUUUGCAACUUGGAACCAGACACAUCCAUUAAAACAAUUAACCAUAAACAUCAAGCUAACAACUCACACUUAUAAAUGUUUGUUCCAUUCCUAAAUAUUAGAUUGAAAACUCCAUCAGCCUCGCCUGUCAGCAAACUGGUCAUCUUUAAAACUGUCAUCCAACUGGAAGUCCUGCACGUUAUUGCCAUAACUGUCAGCAUUGCUUUGGUUGCCAUAGCCCCCAUCGCCACUGCCACUAGCAUGGCUGCCAGCAGGAGCACCUCCAGCACCGUCACCAUAGCUGCCAGCAGAACCACCUCCAGCACCGUUGUCAUAGCCACCACCUCCACUGUUGUAGCUAUUUCCACCAUAGCUGCCACCUCCGCUGCCACCACCGUACCCCCCAGGAGCACCUCCAACACCAUCACCAUAGAUGCCAGCAGGAGCACCUCCAACACCGUCACCAUAG
RNAcentral lists this unclassified non-coding RNA (469 nucleotides) under Hevea brasiliensis (rubber tree). Lineage: Eukaryota; Viridiplantae; Streptophyta; Magnoliopsida; Malpighiales; Euphorbiaceae. The record is from RNAcentral.